Molecule: ribosomal RNA, 274 nt
Filed under: uncultured bacterium
Lineage: Bacteria
Description: partial 16S ribosomal RNA
Rfam family: Bacterial small subunit ribosomal RNA
Source: RNAcentral
AUACGGAGGGUGCAAGCGUUACUCGGAAUCACUGGGCGUAAAGCGCGCGCAGGCGGUCUUUUAAGUUGGAUGUGAAAGCCUACGGCUCAACCGUAGAACUGCAUCCAAAACUAUUAGACUAGAGUGUGGGAGAGGAAGAUGGAAUUAGUUGUGUAGGGGUAAAAUCCGAAGAGAUAACUAGGAAUACCAAAAGCGAAGGCAAUCUUCUGGAACACUACUGACGCUGAGGCGCGAAAGCGUGGGGAGCAAACAGGAUUAGAAACCCUAGUAGUCC